This 495-nucleotide ribosomal RNA is filed under the name uncultured bacterium. RNAcentral describes it as "partial 16S ribosomal RNA". It matches the Rfam family "Bacterial small subunit ribosomal RNA", at positions 28 to 507 of the family's 1533-position model. The record is from RNAcentral.
GACGAACGCUGGCGGCGUGCCUAAUACAUGCAAGUAGAACGCUGAAGGAGGAGCUUGCUUCUCCGGAUGAGUUGCGAACGGGUGAGUAACGCGUAGGUAACCUGCCUUGUAGCGGGGGAUAACUAUUGGAAACGAUAGCUAAUACCGCAUAAGAGUAGAUGUUGCAUGACAUUUGCUUAAAAGGUUCAAUUGCAUCACUACCAGAUGGACCUGCGUUGUAUUAGCUAGUUGGUGAGGUAACGGCUCACCAAGGCGACGAUACAUAGCCGACCGGAGAGGGGGAGCGGCCAGCCUGGGACUGAGACACGGCCCAGACUGCUACGGGAGGCAGCAGUAGUGAAUCGUCGGCAAGGGACGGAAGUCUGACCGAGCAACGCCGCGUGAGUGAAGAAGGAUUUCGGAUCGUAAAGCUCGGUUGUAAGAGAAGAACGAGUGUGAGAGUGGAAAGUUCAGUCUGUGACGGUAACUGAUCAGAAAGGGACGGCUAACUACGUG